AUUGAACGCUGGCGGCAUGCUUUACACAUGCAAGUCGAACGGUAACAGGGAGCUUGCUCCGCUGACGAGUGGCGAACGGGUGAGUAAUAUAUCGGAACGUACCCAAGAGUGGGGGAUAACGUAGCGAAAGUUACGCUAAUACCGCAUACGAUCUAAGGAUGAAAGCAGGGGAUCUUCGGACCUUGUGCUCCUGGAGCGGCCGAUAUCUGAUUAGCUAGUUGGUGAGGUAAAGGCUCACCAAGGCGACGAUCAGUAGCUGGUCUGAGAGGACGACCAGCCACACUGGAACUGAGACACGGUCCGGACUCCUACGGGAGGCAGCAGUGGGGAAUUUUGGACAAUGGGCGCAAGCCUGAUCCAGCAAUGCCGCGUGAGUGAAGAAGGCCUUCGGGUUGUAAAGCUCUUUUGUCAGGGAAGAAACGGGAUUGGCUAAUAUCCAGUCCUAAUGACGGUACCUGAAGAAUAAGCACCGGCUAACUACGUGCCAGCAGCCGCGGUAAUACGUAGGGUGCAAGCGUUAAUCGGAAUUACUGGGCGUAAAGCGUGCGCAGGCGGUUUUGUAAGUCUGACGUGAAAUCCCCGGGCUCAACCUGGGAAUUGCGUUGGAGACUGCAAGGCUGGAAUCUGGCAGAGGGGGGUAGAAUUCCACGUGUAGCAGUGAAAUGCGUAGAGAUGUGGAGGAACACCGAUGGCGAAGGCAGCCCCCUGGGUCAAGAUUGACGCUCAUGCACGAAAGCGUGGGGAGCAAACAGGAUUAGAUACCCUGGUAGUCCACGCCCUAAACGAUGUCUACUAGUUGUCGGGUUUUAAUUAACUUGGUAACGCAGCUAACGCGUGAAGUAGACCGCCUGGGGAGUACGGUCGCAAGAUUAAAACUCAAAGGAAUUGACGGGGACCCGCGCAAGCGGUGGAUGAUGUGGAUUAAUUCGAUGCAACGCGAAAAACCUUACCUACCCUUGACAUGUCAGGAAUGCCGAAGAGAUUUGGCAGUGCCCGAAAGGGAACCUGAACACAGGUGCUGCAUGGCUGUCGUCAGCUCGUGUCGUGAGAUGUUGGGUUAAGUCCCGCAACGAGCGCAACCCUUGUCAUUAGUUGCUACAUUUAGUUGAGCACUCUAAUGAGACUGCCGGUGACAAACCGGAGGAAGGUGGGGAUGACGUCAAGUCCUCAUGGCCCUUAUGGGUAGGGCUUCACACGUCAUACAAUGGUACAUACAGAGGGCCGCCAACCCGCGAGGGGGAGCUAAUCCCAGAAAGUGUAUCGUAGUCCGGAUCGUAGUCUGCAACUCGACUACGUGAAGUUGGAAUCGCUAGUAAUCGCGGAUCAGCAUGUCGCGGUGAAUACGUUCCCGGGUCUUGUACACACCGCCCGUCACACCAUGGGAGCGGGUUUUACCAGAAGUAGGUAGCUUAACCGCAAGGAGGGCGCUUACCACGGUAGGAUUCGUGACUGGGGUGAAGUCGUAACAAGGUAGCCGUAUCGGAAGG
Molecule: ribosomal RNA, 1487 nt
Filed under: uncultured bacterium
Lineage: Bacteria
Description: bacterial SSU rRNA
Rfam family: Bacterial small subunit ribosomal RNA
Source: RNAcentral